UAGGGAAUCUUCCGCAAUGGACGCAAGUCUGACGGAGCAACGCCGCGUGAGUGAAGAAGGAUUUCGGUUCGUAAAACUCUGUUGUUAGAGAAGAACAGCGCAUAGAGUAACUGUUAUGCGUGUGACGGUAUCUAACCAGAAAGCCACGGCUAACUACGUGCCAGCAGCCGCGGUAAUACGUAGGUGGCAAGCGUUGUCCGGAUUUAUUGGGCGUAAAGCGAGCGCAGGCGGUCAAUUAAGUCUGAUGUGAAAGCCCCCGGCUCAACCGGGGAGGGUCAUUGGAAACUGGUUGAAGUGAGUGCAGAAGAGGAGAGUGGAAGUACAUGUGUAGCGGUGAAAUGCGGAGAUAUAUGGAGGAACACCAGUGGCGAAGGCGACUCUCUGGUCUGUAACUGACGCUGAGGCUCGAAAGCGUGGGUAGCAAACAGG
Molecule: ribosomal RNA, 429 nt
Filed under: Bacteroidota bacterium
Lineage: Bacteria; Pseudomonadati; Bacteroidota
Description: Bacteroidetes bacterium partial 16S ribosomal RNA
Rfam family: Bacterial small subunit ribosomal RNA
Source: RNAcentral